ACAAGUGUGAGGUUAUUUCAAUUUUAAGAUAUUAUUUACAAUAAAUUAUAACAUUGUUGAGUUCAUAAAUUAUAGUCGUGGCAUAAAAAAAACUAUUAGCGAUAAUAGUGCAAACCCCAAGCCGUAAAUUUUCUCAUACAGGGUGUUUUGAACUUGCAUAAUUCAAAUCAAUGAGAGGAAGAAUAGUGGACAAGUAAAAAAGAAA
Molecule: long non-coding RNA, 205 nt
Organism: Diorhabda carinulata
Lineage: Eukaryota; Metazoa; Arthropoda; Insecta; Coleoptera; Chrysomelidae
Exons: 2
Source: RefSeq, a predicted model, not a curated record